UCCGUAGGCGGUGCGGCAAGUCGGAAGUGAAAUCUCAGGGCUUAACCCUGAGGCUGCUUCCGAAACUGCCGUGCUCGAGUGCGAGAGAGGCGAGUGGAAUUGCAGGUGUAGCGGUGAAAUGCGUAGAUAUCUGCAGGAACAUCCGAGGCGAAAGCGGCUCGCUGGAUCGCAACUGACGCUGAGGGACGAAAGCUAGGGGAGCAAACAGGAUUGGAUACCCUGGUAGUCCUAGCCCUAAACGAUCAGGACUGGGCGUGGGCCUCGUACGGGGCUCGUGCCGCAGCUAACGCGUUAAGUCCUGCGCCUGGGGAGUACGGUCGCAAGGCUGAA
Molecule: ribosomal RNA, 330 nt
Filed under: uncultured bacterium
Lineage: Bacteria
Description: bacterial SSU rRNA
Rfam family: Bacterial small subunit ribosomal RNA
Source: RNAcentral